This 488-nucleotide ribosomal RNA is filed under the name uncultured bacterium. Its description in RNAcentral is "bacterial SSU rRNA". It matches the Rfam family "Bacterial small subunit ribosomal RNA", at positions 28 to 507 of the family's 1533-position model. The record is from RNAcentral.
GACGAACGCUGGCGGCGUGCCUAAUACAUGCAAGUCGAGCGAAGUGGAGAGAGCUUGCUCUCGAAGCUUAGCGGCGAACGGGUGAGUAACACGUGGGCAACCUGCCCGAUAGACCGGGAUAACUUGGGGGAAACUCAAGCUAAUACCGGAUAGGAUCAUUAACCGCCUGGUUGGUGAUGGAAAGUCUGAACGACACUAUCGGAUGGGCCCGCGGCGCAUUAGCUAGUUGGUGGGGUAACGGCCUACCCAAGGCGACGAUGCGUAGCCGACCUGAGAGGGUGACCGGCCACACUGGGACUGAGACACGGCCCAGACUCCUACGGGAGGCAGCAGUAGGGAAUCUUCCACAAUGGGCGAAAGCCUGAUGGAGCAACGCCGCGUGAGUGAUGAAGGUUUUCGGAUCGUAAAACUCUGUUGUUAGGGAAGAACACCCGGGAGAGGAUCCCGGUUUGACGGUACCUGACGAGAAAGCCCCGGCUAACUACGUG